Molecule: long non-coding RNA, 676 nt
Filed under: Homo sapiens (human)
Lineage: Eukaryota; Metazoa; Chordata; Mammalia; Primates; Hominidae
Description: HSALNT0341967
Source: RNAcentral
GAAAACCGUGGGGUGUGUGUGUGUGUGUGUGUGUGUAUGCAUCUGUGUGUGUAUGUGAAUGUGUAUUUGGGCUUCAUCUGCAAUAGCAACUUAAGCUCAGAAUAAGUGAAUGGGUUGUCAAGGUGGACAUUAGCAGUGAGAGACCAAGAGUCUGGACAACAGGGAUUCAGUGAUUGGGCUAGAAGACCCAGUCAUGAAGGUCAUAGUGUGAAAACUUCCAUUUGGAAAUCUGGGAGCAGUUCUUAAGUCAAAAAACAGACCUGGAAUCACAGUAUCCAUACAUACCAGUUGGAGGACAAAAGACAUUGCCCCAGAGACCAGAGGCACCAAAAUACACUACACCUAGCUACCUGAGAAUGCCUCUAGCUGGCAACUCCAGCAAAGGCCCUUUUCCCCAUCCUUGACCAUCUUGAGUGAAAGCAAAGAACUGAAAGAUUGAAAAAUCUGAGACUGAGCGUUCCUUCCUGGAGAGACUCGUACCAUAUCAACCAGAUUGGAUAUGUAUUUAUUUUUCUUUUCUGCCAUUCAGCAUGUGGCAAAGACCCAUUUAGUUAUAAACAAAAUAAAAGAGGUUGUAUUUAUAAAAUUUUGCACAUCUAAGUUGUAGUAUGUAUUAAGUUUGUAUCCUUGUUAUAUGUGAUUCCCUGCUGUGGCCCAGCAGAUAAUAUAAACACUG